This 223-nucleotide ribosomal RNA is filed under the name Escherichia coli. RNAcentral describes it as "partial 23S ribosomal RNA". It matches the Rfam family "Bacterial large subunit ribosomal RNA", at positions 2725 to 2925 of the family's 2925-position model. The record is from RNAcentral. Lineage: Bacteria; Pseudomonadati; Pseudomonadota; Gammaproteobacteria; Enterobacterales; Enterobacteriaceae.
CAUGCCAAUGGCACUGCCCGGUAGCUAAAUGCGGAAGAGAUAAGUGCUGAAAGCAUCUAAGCACGAAACUUGCCCCGAGAUGAGUUCUCCCUGACUCCUUGAGAGUCCUGAAGGAACGUUGAAGACGACGACGUUGAUAGGCCGGGUGUGUAAGCGCAGCGAUGCGUUGAGCUAACCGGUACUAAUGAACCGUGAGGCUUAACCUUACAACGCCGAAGCUGUU